Pelobates cultripes (western spadefoot toad) is the source of this 5114-nucleotide non-coding RNA. NCBI's taxonomy places the organism in Eukaryota, Metazoa, Chordata, Amphibia, Anura, Pelobatidae. The record is from the annotation of a GenBank genome assembly.
AGAUAAUGAUACUGGAACUUGUAUUUAUUAUUAAUUCUACAAAUAGAAAUAACACAUCUAACUAAACUUUCAAAUAUGUUUUCUUACAGCGGCAAAUUUCAACCAGAACCAGAACAUGAUUGAAUCUAGUGGUAUGUUAAUAAGCAGUUAAGAUACAUUAAAGGGACACUGUAGGCACCCAGAUCAUUUCAGCCCAUUGAAGUGGUCUGGGUGCCACCUCAUAUCACCCUUAACCUUAAGUGUAAUUAUUGCAGCUUUUGUAAUCUGCAAUAAUUACCUUGCAGGGUUAAGUGCUCCUCUAGUGGCUGUCUACCAGACAGCCACUAGAGGGACUUCCGGCUUCUUAGACGACUUUUGGUCGUCUAAACUACGCUGGACAUCCUCACACUAUGCAUGAGUACCUCCAGCAUCGCCGGAAUCCCCAUAGGAAAGCAUUGAAUAAUGGUUUCCUAUGGGGAGGUCUAAUGUGUACGCCCAUUGGCGCGCAUGCGCAUUAGGUCUCCCCUGCCGGAGGAUGUGGAAUGGGGGGCACUCGAAGAUUCUACAGUACCAGGAAAACGGCUUUGUUUUCGUGGCACUAGAGAGUCCCAUUAACAGCACAGAUCAGUGCAAGACAACAUACAGUGCAAAUUGAAAAACAUUAGCAGAAGUCACUAUGCAGUACAAGGUGCAAUAUGCAAUAAUGUGCAGUUCAAAAUGAAUUAUGCAAAAAAAAUAAAAAUAAAAAAAUAACAUGCACAUCAUAGUUUAUAAGGACAUUACACAUAACUCAAUGUACAUAAUAUGCAUAGUAUACAGAAGGAAAAUGUUCAUGGUUCUUUUCAUAGGGUAAUAUAUACUGUGUAUAUUUCCCUAUAAAAAGAAUUUUAGGAAUAAUUUACACUGAUCAUCCACAACAUUAAAACUGCAUGCCUAAUAUUUUGUAUAUCCCCCUCAUAUUGCCAAAACAGCUCUGAUGCAUCAAGGCAUGGACUCCACAAGACCUUUAAAUGUGUCCUGUGAUAAUUGACACCAAGAUAUUAGCAUCAGAUGCUUUAAGUCCUGCAAGUUGCGAUUUGGGGCCUCCGUGGAUGGGAAUUGUUGUUCCAGCUUAUCGCACACAUUGCUCAAUCAGAUUGAGAUCUGGACAAUUUGGAGGCCAAAGCAACACCUUGGACUCUCAAGGUAAACAAUGCACACGCACCUGGCCAUCCACCUGAUCUAGAAAAAAAUGUGAUUCAGUCAACCUUCUUCCAUUGUUCCAUUGUCCAGUUUUGACACUCACAUUGUUAGUGAACACCCUUUCGGCGGUGGACAGGGGUCAUCAUUGGCACACAACCCCAUAUGCAUCAAACUGCAAUGCACUGUGCAUUCUAACACAUUUAUUUUAUGGCCAGUAUUACGUUUUUCACCAGUUUGAGCUACAGUAGCUCUUCUGUGUGAUCAGCCGGCUUCUCCGGUUGUCCUUUAGUAUGUACUAACCAGUGCAUACUGGGAGCAUCCCGCAGGACUUGCCAUUUUCAAGAUGCUCUGACCUUGUCUUCUAGCCAUCACUAUUUGGCCCUUGUCAAAGUCACAUAGAUCUUUUCACUUGCCUAUUUUCCUUCUUCCAGCACAUGACAUUCAAGAACUGACUGUUCACUUGCUGGCUAAUAUAUCACACACCUUGACAGGUGCCAUUGUAAUGAUAUAAUCCAUGUUAUUCACUUCACCUGUCAGUGUUUUAAUGUUGUGGCGGAUCAGUGUAUAACUAUAUAUAUAUAUACAUACAUAUAUACACAUUUAAAAUAAACUCUGAUGCUGUAAAUUAAAAUUUACAAUAACUUUGCUUACUGUUAAAACAAGAUUAACUAAAAAAAAAACUUUUACUGUGUUCACUUGCAGUGGCCAACCUAACGAAGAAAGUGAGCAUCCUUGAAACAUCUUUGCCAAGACUUGGUACGGUAAUAUGCUAUACAUUACCUUUCAGUACUUAGUAGAACCUUGACAAUUGUCCAAAUCUAAUAGGACUGCUCAGAUUUUGGACCCUAUGCAACCAUGUUUCAUUCUUUUUCAUAAAAGAGACACCAGAGAAGAUUCUUGCUAUUGCUUGCCUUUCUAGAGCUUUUAUGCCCAUUCAAAACUACUUCAGCGUCUAUUAACACAUAGACAUUGCUGACAGUACCCUUUGAUGGUCUUGUGUGACAUCAGUGAUGUGAACUGCAUCACUGAUAUGUGGCUAUUAUUAUUUCCAUUUUUACCAUCAAAGCAGUUGUUUAAUAAUGGUUAAUUCAGGUAAACAUAACUGUUUUGAUAGCUUGAGAUUCAUUGUGUAUUAUCAUUAUUAUUCACUGAAGUGAGAAUUGUUGGGAAAAUCAAAGUGAAUUCAAAGUAAAUUUCAAGUGUAUUUCAUAAAUUUCCUAACUGGAGUCAUAGCUGACCUGAAGAACUUUUUCAGUUCUGCUAUUUUACUCUUAAAUUUGAUAUUUAACUUGACUUCACUUUGAAUUCAACAAAAAUGUAAUUCCUUCUAAUAUUUCAAAUGCAUAAACAGGGACACAUUUAUUUUAAGGGUGUGAGUGAGGGUGUAGGUAGAGAUCAGGCUGCUCUGAGAAAUAUUAGAUGACUUACUAAUUACAAUUUAUGUAACUAAAAUGUAAUUUAGAACAAGAACUGUAAAGAACCCACACCACAAGGGCCUGUAAUCACAUCUAUGGCACAUAUCCCUCUAACGCGCUGAGCACCUCCCAGCGGAGCGCCACUCGGCAUCUUCGACAUGCUGACCGCAAAGACCCAGAGGUACUUCCAGAGCGGCCACGGCCAAGAUUCAAGGUGAAAAUAGUUCCAGGCAGCCGCUCUGGAAUGUCCUCAAAACUUUAACUUAGUGGCGUUUCCUCUACAGACUUAAGAUCAGGGCUCUAUUUUCACAGACUGGGCAUUUAAAGAGAACUAUCUGAGGAUACUAUAUGUGUGGGGGUCAUAUAUGUUUUUCAUAUGUUUUUGGGGUAAAAUUGUGCCAGGCCCAUCUGUGUAUGGGAGAUAAUUCAAACUGAAGUUUGUUGCAAUCCUCUCCCAGACACAAAGGCGCUUGGAUGGGCUAACUGUGUUUUCAAUAGAGACCCCAUGCUGGGGUUCUGGUUAUAUAAACUUGUGUUUCUUUUAAUAAAAGUUGUUGUAUUACCCUUCAUCAAGUCUUGAGUGGUGUUUGGGUAGGAAAGAGCUAAAAUCACGUCCUUGCGGGACUUGGGAAAGACAUUCAACAGAGGUACUAUUCAGAGUACAGAAGCUCCGUUACAAGAACAAUAUAUCCGAUGAUUUUAAACACAUGUAUUGUAGAAAGUAUCCUAGAAAAGAGGGACAUUAUGACAGAAAAGAGAGGCAGACGGAUAUGUGCCCAAAAUAGGGACUUUCCCUCUUAAAUAGGGACACUUGAGAGGUAUUCAAUUUUCACUUUAGUUAAGAACUCUGGAUUUUCUAAUAGUUUGUUUUGAAUAUGUAGAAUACUUGAUAUGAAGAAUUCCAGCAAUCCAUUUUUGUUAUGAUGGCUAUAAAAUGCUGUCUGCGGAGCUCGGUUCAGUUAGUUCAUGAGUAAUUUAGAAUAUUUACUACACGGAGCUGUUGAUUCACUCUGUAUUUAAAGUAUUCAGAGCAUUAUUAAUAGUUAACAUAUAUUCAGUUGAUUUUAUUUGACUUAUGUUUUGUUUUUCUUAAUUUUUAUUCUCCUUGGUAGAUCUCAAAAGGACUUUAGUUAAUAAAACUAAUUGUUCAUCCAUUUGGGUCUGUUGGGAUUCCUUGAAAUGCUGCUAUACAACCAGGCAAUUUUUUUCAAGAGCAGAUCUCACUUUCUCCUUGAAGAUGUUAAGUCCUGUAACAUUCAUCCUACCACUGUUCUAGAGAUUUAGGCAGUAAUGUUAAACCUGAGAGUAGCUGUACAUACACUUCCUAAAAAGUGGGAAGCGAUACCUGGUGACAGGUACUUACAUAGUGCAAACAGGGGCAUUCCGAGGUCAGAAGAUCAAGAGAAUAGAAUAGAUGACAUCCCUAGUCAAUGAGUAGAAAUGUGAAAAAGUUAGGUUGCUCCAGUUUGUCCAAAUAAAAUGCCUUUUAAUCCAUAUCUGGAUGAUUCAAUUCAUCCAAGAUUCACUUGUGGGGUCUUAUUCAUUGGGCAAGAUUCCCCAGAUAAAUCUCAGACCAAUCGAUAAAUUCUUAUAUGGAUUUUAAAAGUAAUUUGAUUCACACAAACUGAUACAAACAUGUUUUUCCACAAGUCUACUAAUAAGUCAAUGUAGGUAAUGGACAAACAAUGACAUGUGAGCCAAGUUCUGGUACAUAAAUAGGCCUCUUCCAAGAAUGUGUUCUACAAACAUGUAGACAACAACCAGAUGAGCGCGGAAAGAAGGGGAAGGCAGAUACAUGACAGCUGGUGAGAAAUGUUUUAGAUGGUGUACACCUUACGACUUUUUCUACUGUAUUAUACAAAGGAAGUCACAAAUUGUACUAAAAGUGGUGACCCAUUAAACUAGUGACAGGUUACACUGCCUGAAUGGGCAUCUCUGUUCUCUGAUCCUUUCUGAGCCUAUGAGUAACUGCUGCAUAUCAGAACAUUGAAAAACUGGAAUUCCUUGUCUUCUCUUACUCCAAUAUAACUUUUAAAUUUUCUAUAAUAUGAGACGUUGAUCAUACAUGGAUAAAAGUGUAUAAAUCGCAUCUGUUUGUGUUCUAUGUAACUGUUAGAAAAUCCACUUCUUAUGUGGUAUCUGACCCCAUACACGUAGUUAGAAAGCUAAAGACCAAUCUUUAUUGACAAAGAGAAGAGUAUUGCCCACAAGCUUAAAAAAAACCCUGUGAAUAUAUUUUGUGAUGUACAUUUAUAUUUAUUUAUGGAAUUUCAAAACACAAGCACUUUUCUAUGUAAAAUCCAUUUUCAGUAUGUAUAAAGGCUUAUAUUAAAUCUAUUUUCUAAUCCAAAUGUUCCCGCUGUAGCUAUAUCAAACUGAUUUUAUCUUUCUUCAGAGACAGGCUGUGGCACUGGAUGGAUGGAGUUCAAUAACAGCUGCUAUUUUUUCACAACAAUUAAAUCGAACUGGUUUAAAGCCAGGACAUUUUGUGUAAGGAAGGGAAGUGAUCUGACUGUAAUUACCAGCGAGAUGGAGCAU